This 103-nucleotide ribosomal RNA is filed under the name Streptococcus pneumoniae CDC0288-04. Lineage: Bacteria; Bacillati; Bacillota; Bacilli; Lactobacillales; Streptococcaceae. The record is from RNAcentral.
UUAAGUGACGAUAGCCUAGGAGAUACACCUGUACCCAUGCCGAACACAGAAGUUAAGCCCUAGAACGCCGGAAGUAGUUGGGGGGUGCCCCCUGUGAGAUAGG